GUGUCAGCAGCCGCGGUAAGACAGAGGUCCCGAGCGUUAGACGGAAUCACUGGGCUUAAAGCGUGUGUAGGCGGAAGGGUAAGUACCUUGUGAAAUCCCACAGCUCAACUGUGGAACUGCUUGGUAUACUGCUUUUCUUGAGCCACUUAGGGGCAACCGGAACAAAUGGUGGAGCGGUGAAAUGCGUAGAUAUCAUUUGGAACGCCAAUGGUGAAAACAGGUUGCUGGGAGUGUGCUGACGCUGAGACACGAAAGCCAGGGGAGCAAACGGGAUUAGAUACCCCCGUAGUCC
Molecule: ribosomal RNA, 292 nt
Filed under: uncultured bacterium
Lineage: Bacteria
Description: partial 16S ribosomal RNA
Rfam family: Bacterial small subunit ribosomal RNA
Source: RNAcentral